AUUAUAUUAUUAAUUAAUAUAAUUAAUAGGAAUUAAGACAAAUCAUAAUGACCUUUAUAAUAUGGGCUAUAAACAUGCUAUAAUAAUUUGAUAAUAAAAUUAUAAUAAUAUUAUAACAAAAAUAAUAAAAUUAAUAAUUGAAAACAAAUUAAUUUUUAAUAUAAUUAUAUAUUAUAUUAUAAUAUGAAUUAUUAUCUGUAAUUUGAUAAUAUGAAAUAAGAAUUACUAGUAAUACGUAAAUAAUUAUGUUACGGUGAAUAUUCUAACUGUUUCGCACUAAUUACUCAUCACACAUUGAAAUAUAUAUUUAUCUUAUUAAUAUAUAUAUAUAUUAUUAUAUCUUUUAAUAUUAUAUAUAUUAUUAUAUGAAAAUUUAUUAAUUAAUGUGAAGUU
RNAcentral lists this ribosomal RNA (393 nucleotides) under Monosporozyma unispora. Its description in RNAcentral is "Kazachstania unispora partial small subunit ribosomal RNA". Lineage: Eukaryota; Fungi; Ascomycota; Saccharomycetes; Saccharomycetales; Saccharomycetaceae. The record is from RNAcentral.